This 497-nucleotide ribosomal RNA is filed under the name uncultured bacterium. RNAcentral's name for it is "partial 16S ribosomal RNA". It matches the Rfam family "Bacterial small subunit ribosomal RNA", at positions 28 to 507 of the family's 1533-position model. The record is from RNAcentral.
GAUGAACGCUGGCGGCGUGCCUAAUACAUGCAAGUCGAGCGAACAGACGAGGAGCUUGCUCCUCUGACGUUAGCGGCGGACGGGUGAGUAACACGUGGAUAACCUACCUAUAAGACUGGGAUAACUUCGGGAAACCGGAGCUAAUACCGGAUAAUAUAUUGAACCGCAUGGUUCAAUAGUGAAAGACGGUUUUGCUGUCACUUAUAGAUGGAUCCGCGCCGCAUUAGCUAGUUGGUAAGGUAACGGCUUUCCAAGGCAACGAUGCGUAGCCGACCUGAGAGGGUGAUCGGCCACACUGGAACUGAGACACGGUCCAGACUCCUACGGGAGGCAGCAGUAGGGAAUCUUCCGCAAUGAGCGAAAGCCUGACGGAGCAACGCCGCGUGAGUGAUGAAGGUCUUCGGAUCGUAAAACUCUGUUAUUAGGGAAGAACAAAUGUGUAAGUAACUAUGCACGUCUUGACGGUACCUAAUCAGAAAGCCACGGCUAACUACGUG